GCAUCCAUGGCUGAAUGGUUAAAGCACCCAACUAAUAGUUCGGGAGACAUGGUCAAAGCCCGCAUUGAAUGUU
Molecule: transfer RNA, 73 nt
Filed under: Genlisea tuberosa
Lineage: Eukaryota; Viridiplantae; Streptophyta; Magnoliopsida; Lamiales; Lentibulariaceae
Description: tRNA-Ile
Source: RNAcentral